This 335-nucleotide ribosomal RNA is filed under the name uncultured bacterium. RNAcentral describes it as "bacterial SSU rRNA". It matches the Rfam family "Bacterial small subunit ribosomal RNA", at positions 568 to 898 of the family's 1533-position model. The record is from RNAcentral.
UGCGUAGGCGGUUUGGUAAGUUUUCUGAUGUGAAAUCUAUGGGCUCAACUCAUAGUCUGCAUCGGAAACUGCCGGGCUUGAGUGUGGGAGAGGUGAGUGGAAUUUCCGGUGUAGCGGUGAAAUGCGUAGAUAUCGGAAGGAACACCUGUGGCGAAAGCGGCUCACUGGACCACAACUGACGCUGAUGCACGAAAGCUAGGGGAGCAAACAGGAUUAGAUACCCUGGUAGUCCUAGCCCUAAACGAUGACUGCUUGGUGUGACGGGUACCCAAUCCCGCCGUGCCGUAGCUAACGCGUUAAGCAGUCCGCCUGGGGAGUACGGUCGCAAGGCUGAA